CUGAAGAGCAGAUUGAAGAAAGUCUCUACAACCACUGGAGAUGGUGUUGCGAGAGCAUUUCUCAAAGCACAAGCAUCUUUCUUUGGGAGCUACAGAAAUGCCCUGAAAAUUGAACCUGGUGAACCCAUCACUUUUUGUGAAGAAACGUUUGUGUCCCAUCGUUCUGCUGUCAUGAGGCAGUUCCUUCAGAAUGCCAUUCAGCUCCAGCUCUUUAAGCAGUUCAUUGAUGGCCGUCUGGAUCUUCUUAACUCUGGUGAGGGCUUCAGUGAUGUUUUUGAAGAGGAGAUAAAUAUGGGAGAAUAUGCAGGUAGUGACAAAUUGUACCACCAGUGGCUCUCUACAGUAAGG
Molecule: long non-coding RNA, 348 nt
Organism: Nestor notabilis (Kea)
Lineage: Eukaryota; Metazoa; Chordata; Aves; Psittaciformes; Psittacidae
Exons: 4
Source: RefSeq, a predicted model, not a curated record